UCCGACUCAGAGAGUUUGAUCAUGGCUCAGAGCGAACGCUGGCGGCAGGCUUAACACGAUGCAAGUCGUACGCGCGUAGCAAUACGUGAGUGGCAGACGGGUGAGGAACACGUGGGAACAUACCCUUUGGUUCGGAAUAACUCAGGGAAACUUGAGCUAAUACCGGAUAAGUCGGAAACGAGAAAGAUUUAUCGCCGAAGGAGUGGCCGCGUCUGAUUAGCUAGUUGGUGAGGUAAUGGGCUCACCCAAGGCGACGAUCAGUAGCUGGUCUGAGAGGAUGAUCAGCCACACUGGGACUGAGACACGGCCCAGACUCCUACGGGAGGCAGCAGUGGGGAAUAUUGGACAAUGGGCGCAAGCCUGAUCCAGCCAUGCCGCGUGAGUGAUGAAGGCCUUAGGGUUGUAAAGCUCUUUUGUCCGGGAAGAUAAUGACUGUACCGGAAGAAUAAGCCCCGGCUAACUUCGUG
RNAcentral lists this ribosomal RNA (467 nucleotides) under uncultured bacterium. Its description in RNAcentral is "bacterial SSU rRNA". It matches the Rfam family "Bacterial small subunit ribosomal RNA", at positions 1 to 507 of the family's 1533-position model. The record is from RNAcentral.